AGGAGAGGAGAGGAGCAUCCUCCCUGCGGCGGGGGCCGCGGUUGCCAUGGGAGCGCGGAUGUUUUCCCUUCCAUCAGCAUCUCGUCUGCCCCCAGCGCUCUGCCCUUACAGCCCCGCGGACCCGCAAAUGCGGCUGACGUGGCUUUGGGAGCUCUCCACGCUUGUUGGAAGGAGGACCUACGGUUCAACCCUGCAAUUCCUUUCUGCCCAGCUGGAUUCAUUUUUUUCUUUUUAGAGGGGGAGGGGGUGAACCAGGGAGGAUGCAGUGUCCUGUUCACCAUUUGAGCGCACGCUGCACGUGCAGGGCUCUGCCAAGAGCCGGCUCUCGGUGCUAGGGAGGAUGCGGGAGGAUGCGGGACGAUGCGGGAGGAUGCGGGAGGAUGCGGGAGGAUGCGACCGGAUUGCAGGAGAUGCGGGUGCCUGAUGGACUGCUCGCACAGGCAGAGAGCGCCUGCCCGGGGCAAUCGGCACAGGCAAACCAACCCUGGGGCUGCUCUGCUGGUUCAUCAGCGGCCUGAGGAAGCCAGCCAGCUCUUCCAUCCAACCCAAGGCACUGGGUUUCCCCUCGUCUCUAGCCAAAAAACCCUGCCAAAGCUGUCCUGCAGACUCAAAUUGCAUGUGGUGUUAAGCAGUUCUUAGGAGAAGGAAAUUCUCCCUCUGGUAGCAAGUCUCCAAGGGAGGGAAUCCGGAGUCAGCCUGAGAUUUCAGACACUGCUUUAAAUCUUGUGACCUCAUCUGGCCAAAGCUAGUAAGGCUGAGGGUGUCCCUGCCCUGACAAAUGUUUUUCCUGGUGCCUUAGGCAAGGUUUCUGCUGUUGGGACUUGACCUGAGUGCCUGGACAGCUCUGGGAUGCUGAACAGCAGCAACAAGGAUGUUUGCACCUCACCUGGCCCCAAACUGCAGGGGAGCAAGCAGCCUGGGGAGCCUAGGGGAGUGGACAAUAUUUUUCUCCCCUAAAUUAAUCUUUCCAUGGAAAAGGAGUGCAGGAACACCUAAGAAUUCAUCUCAAGAGCAAAUCCUAUUUAUUUGCUGUUAUCCACAAUCCCCCUGGAUCAGGAGGACCCAGCACUCCAUCCCCCAGCACAUCUGUGCAGCUGCUCCCUGGAGCUUGACAGCAGUUUGGGCAUGAGGAAACAGCACUGCAGGGCUGCUGGUCUUGGAAGGAUGAUACCCAAAAAAUUAAUGAGCAUUGCUACAAAAGUCUGGAGGAUUUAAGCAUGGCACUAGAGGGACCUGUGAGCAUUUUACACCAAAUGUAAGGGGUAAGAAGGCACCACAGGAACAGCUCCAGUUCAAACACUCACCAGUGUAGGAAACAAUCUUCAAGUGCAGAUGCCCUUCCCAAGGACUUUAUUGCAUAUCAAAGGCAAUAACAAUUUAUUUCAGUGUAUUCACUGUUAGAUAUAAUAGCCAAACAGAGGUAUGAAAGACCCAAGCUGACACUCUGGUUAAAAUCCAUUGCUCUGCCUAAUCAUUGUACAGCUGAACAACAAAUCACCAGAGUGGCUAUAAAUCGUGUAUUUGCAUAAAUAAAUAAACGUAGUCUUGUGCA
Molecule: long non-coding RNA, 1552 nt
Organism: Cyanistes caeruleus (blue tit)
Lineage: Eukaryota; Metazoa; Chordata; Aves; Passeriformes; Paridae
Source: Ensembl